UCUGGUGAUUAUCCCGGAGGGGUACCACCCGUUCCCACCUCGAACACAGAAGUUAAAACCUUCUGGGGCGACAUACCAAUUGGGAAAAUAACACAUCGCCAGGU
This 104-nucleotide ribosomal RNA is filed under the name Gracilibacter sp. BRH_c7a. Lineage: Bacteria; Bacillati; Bacillota; Clostridia; Eubacteriales; Gracilibacteraceae. The record is from RNAcentral.